UACCUCAGCACACUGGUGGAUUAAGAAUGGGUUAUAAGCAUGUGAAAAUGUUGGAUUUGCUCACAAUUGCGGAGUGUCAGGAGCACAGGAGUUAAACAUUAUGUAGAAGAAUCAGGGACAAGAAAAAUGCAGAUGUUCAUUCUCCUGGUGCCUUUCAUGGUUGAUCUGGAUGCUAAACAGUCCUGGCAACUCUCUAUGAAAAAUGCUUCUCUGUCCUUUUCAUCACCCAAGAGAUUUCUAACUUCAUUUUAAAGAAGAUGGAAAGGAAAAUUCUGUGAUUCACUAAUAAAUGUUGCUGUAAU
RNAcentral lists this long non-coding RNA (302 nucleotides) under Callithrix jacchus (white-tufted-ear marmoset). RNAcentral describes it as "lncRNA (ENSCJAG00000068498.2)". The record is from RNAcentral. Lineage: Eukaryota; Metazoa; Chordata; Mammalia; Primates; Cebidae.